AGAAGUUUUUUAACCUAAAGGUGACGCUCAAACAAUUUGCACAUACCACAAUUAUUCCAGCGGGUAUCUACGACUUCCCACCAACACGGGUAUUAGGUAACUUUGCUAACAAGAAUUAGGUAAAGGGGCAAAAAUCACACACUUCAUUGACCGUUAGGCCACAUCCUUGGGUACAAGACUUUUGUAGGAGACGUAACAUUCAUUGUAUUCAAUAUUCGCGCUUUAAACAAUAUAUUAAAGGAGUGAUAUUACAAAUUACUUACCAAAAGGAGCCACUUAACUCAAAAAGAAAUGACUUCCCCACUCUUUUCUUCUAUUUUGACAAGUCAAGUUUAUACUCUAUACAAGGUCUUUUGUGUCUUUCACAGUAAUAUUUCUUCAAGCCUAUAACAGGAUUAGGAAAGCAUUCAAGGUUAUGGAUCAACAUCUGUCUUGACGACUCAAAGAUAGAGUAAAAGAAAGGCAUUCCACGAUCAAACGAGACAUAAUCUAAGACUACCUAAGACUAUUUUUUUCCUUUUAAAUUUUUGAUGACCCAGAAAUUCCAAAGGGCAAGUUGCACGCGAUUUGAAACAUAGUGGAUAAUAGGUCUACCCCUCUACCCUUCAUCACUCUUUUUGUCUGAGGUAGGGCUCGAACUCAUGACGUGUGCCUAAUCCACACAUCAAACGUUACGCUCUUACUACUACACUAAAGCCCCGGGGGCCUAAGUUUCCACUUCAACAAUCCAGCAGGAAUUUCCCAAAUGUAGGGAAAAUAACCAUAUCAACAAUUUGGGAAACAUUUUUCCUUUC
This 794-nucleotide long non-coding RNA is filed under the name Nicotiana benthamiana. RNAcentral's name for it is "long non-coding RNA (NBEN_LNC017308)". Lineage: Eukaryota; Viridiplantae; Streptophyta; Magnoliopsida; Solanales; Solanaceae. The record is from RNAcentral.